Molecule: ribosomal RNA, 435 nt
Filed under: Triticum aestivum (bread wheat)
Lineage: Eukaryota; Viridiplantae; Streptophyta; Magnoliopsida; Poales; Poaceae
Description: partial small subunit ribosomal RNA
Source: RNAcentral
AUGCAAUCUCCCACUGAAAAUGUGAAUAUUUCUCAAGGGCAUCCUCAGCUCAUGCGUGUGCAGCCGCAUACUGAUAACGUGAGCCGUUCUCAAGGGCAUGCUCAACAUGUGCAAAUGCAACUGCCUACCGACAAUAUGAGACGUUCCGAAGGGCAUCCUCAGCCCAUACAAAUGCAAUCGCCUAGUGCAAAUGUGGACCAUUUUGUUGAUGACAGUCGGCACAUGCAAAUGCAACCACCUACUGAGACUCUGAAUCGUUCUAAUUGCCAGCCCCAGUCUCUGCAAAUGCAGCUGACAUGUGCUGAGAGGCAGUCAAAUCUUCAGAGGAAUAAAUCAAAUCAGGGCAACAAGAGCGUGGGGAUUCUUUGUGCUUGGAAGAUGAUACUAAUUUAUGUGAAACAUCUAGAUACACGCUUGGGUGGAACACCCGUCUAA